AUUGAACGCUGGCGGCAGGCCUAACACAUGCAAGUCGAACGAGUGGCGGACGGGUGAGUAAUGUCUGGGCAACUGCCUGAUGGAGGGGGAUAACUACUGGAAACGUUAGCUAAUACCGCAUACCAUCAGAUGUGCCCAGAUGGGAUUAGCUAGUGGGGGGGGUAAAGGCUCACCUAGGCGACGAUCCCUAGCUGGUCUGAGAGGAUGACCAGCCACACUGGAACUGAGACACGGUCCAGACUCCUACGGGAGGCAGCAGUGGGGAAUAUUGCACAAUGGGCGCAAGCCUGAUGCAGCCAUGCCGCGUGUAUGAAGAAGGCCUUCGGGUUGUAAAGUACUUUCAGCGGGGAGGCGUUACCCGCAGAAGAAGCACCGGCUAACUCCGUGCCAGCAGCCGCGGUAAUAC
RNAcentral lists this ribosomal RNA (406 nucleotides) under uncultured bacterium. RNAcentral describes it as "partial 16S ribosomal RNA". It matches the Rfam family "Bacterial small subunit ribosomal RNA", at positions 30 to 526 of the family's 1533-position model. The record is from RNAcentral.